This 649-nucleotide ribosomal RNA is filed under the name uncultured Actinomycetes bacterium. Its description in RNAcentral is "bacterial SSU rRNA". It matches the Rfam family "Bacterial small subunit ribosomal RNA", at positions 229 to 888 of the family's 1533-position model. Lineage: Bacteria; Bacillati; Actinomycetota; Actinomycetes. The record is from RNAcentral.
AUUCGCGGCCUAUCAGCUUGUUGGUGGGGUGAUGGCCUACCAAGGCGACGACGGGUAGCCGGCCUGAGAGGGUGACCGGCCACACUGGGACUGAGACACGGCCCAGACUCCUACGGGAGGCAGCAGUGGGGAAUAUUGCACAAUGGGCGCAAGCCUGAUGCAGCAACGCCGCGUGAGGGAUGACGGCCUUCGGGUUGUAAACCUCUUUUAGCAGGGAAGAAGCGAAAGUGACGGUACCUGCAGAAAAGGCACCGGCUAACUACGUGCCAGCAGCCGCGGUAAUACGUAGGGUGCAAGCGUUGUCCGGAAUUAUUGGGCGUAAAGAGCUCGUAGGCGGUUUGUCGCGUCUGCUGUGAAAACGCGAGGCUCAACCUCGCGCCUGCAGUGGGUACGGGCAAACUUGAGUGCGGUAGGGGAGAUUGGAAUUCCUGGUGUAGCGGUGGAAUGCGCAGAUAUCAGGAGGAACACCGAUGGCGAAGGCAGAUCUCUGGGCCGUUACUGACGCUGAGGAGCGAAAGCGUGGGGAGCGAACAGGAUUAGAUACCCUGGUAGUCCACGCCGUAAACGUUGGGAACUAGAUGUGGGGUCCAUUCCACGGAUUCCGUGUCGCAGCUAACGCAUUAAGUUCCCCGCCUGGGGAGUACGGAAU